This 733-nucleotide ribosomal RNA is filed under the name uncultured Staphylococcus sp. Its description in RNAcentral is "bacterial SSU rRNA". It matches the Rfam family "Bacterial small subunit ribosomal RNA", at positions 62 to 777 of the family's 1533-position model. Lineage: Bacteria; Bacillati; Bacillota; Bacilli; Caryophanales; Staphylococcaceae. The record is from RNAcentral.
UCGAGCGAACGGACGAGAAGCUUGCUUCUCUGAUGUUAGCGGCGGACGGGUGAGUAACACGUGGAUAACCUACCUAUAAGACUGGGAUAACUUCGGGAAACCGGAGCUAAUACCGGAUAAUAUUUUGAACCGCAUGGUUCAAAAGUGAAAGACGGUCUUGCUGUCACUUAUAGAUGGAUCCGCGCUGCAUUAGCUAGUUGGUAAGGUAGCGGCUUACCAAGGCAACGAUGCAUAGCCGACCUGAGAGGGUGAUCGGCCACACUGGAACUGAGACACGGUCCAGACUCCUACGGGAGGCAGCAGUAGGGAAUCUUCCGCAAUGGGCGAAAGCCUGACGGAGCAACGCCGCGUGAGUGAUGAAGGUCUUCGGAUCGUAAAACUCUGUUAUUAGGGAAGAACAUAUGUGUAAGUAACUGUGCACAUCUUGACGGUACCUAAUCAGAAAGCCACGGCUAACUACGUGCCAGCAGCCGCGGUAAUACGUAGGUGGCAAGCGUUAUCCGGAAUUAUUGGGCGUAAAGCGCGCGUAGGCGGUUUUUUAAGUCUGAUGUGGAAGCCCACGGCUCAACCGUGGAGGGUCAUUGGAAACUGGAAAACUUGAGUGCAGAAGAGGAAAGUGGAAUUCCAUGUGUAGCGGUGAAAUGCGCAGAGAUAUGGAGGAACACCAGUGGCGAAGGCGACUUUCUGGUCUGUAACUGACGCUGAUGUGCGAAAGCGUGGGGAUCAAACAGGA